CGGUUGAUCCUGCCCGGAGGUUACUGCUAUCGGUGUUCGANUAAGCCAUGCGAGUCAUAUGUUNUUCGUGAACAUGGCGGACUGCUCAGUAACACGUGGAUAACCUGCCNUUAGGUUUGGCAUAACUCCGGGAAACUGGAGAUAAUUCCGAAUAGGUCAAAUAUGCUGGAAUGCUUUUUGGCCAAAAGACUUCGGUUGCCUAAGGAUGGAUCUGCGGUCUAUCAGGUUGUAGUGGGUGUAACGUACCUACUAGCCUACGACGGAUAUGGGUUGUGAGAGCAAGAGCCCAGAGAUGGAUUCUGAGACAUGAAUCCAGGCCCUACGGGGCGCAGCAGGCGCGAAAACUUUACAAUGCGGGAAACCGCGAUAAGGGGACACCGAGUGCCAGCAUUUAUGUUGGCUGUCCACAUGUGUAAACGGCAUGUGUUAGCAAGGGCCGGGCAAGACCGGUGCCAGCCGCCGCGGUAACACCGGCGGCCCGAGUGGUAAUCACUUUUAUUGGGUCUAAAGGGUCCGUAGCCGGUUUAAUCAGUUCUUCGGGAAAUCUGACAGCUCAACUGUUAGGCUUCCGGGGAAUACUGUCAGACUUGGGACCGGGAGAGGUAAGAGGUACUACAGGGGUAGGAGUGAAAUCUUGUAAUCCCUGUGGGACCACCAGUGGCGAAGGCGUCUUACCAGAACGGGUCCGACAGUGAGGGACGAAAGCUGGGGGCACGAACCGGAUUAGAUACCCGGGUAGUCCCAGCCGUAAACGAUGUUCGCUAGGUGUCAGGGGCGGUGCGACCGCUUCUGGUGCCGUAGGGAAGCCGUGAAGCGAACCACCUGGGAAGUACGGCCGCAAGGCUGAAACUUAAAGGAAUUGGCGGGGGAGCACAAGGGCGAAUUCUGCAGAUAUCCAUCAC
RNAcentral lists this ribosomal RNA (902 nucleotides) under uncultured Methanococcoides sp. RNAcentral describes it as "bacterial SSU rRNA". It matches the Rfam family "Archaeal small subunit ribosomal RNA", at positions 5 to 911 of the family's 1478-position model. Lineage: Archaea; Methanobacteriati; Methanobacteriota; Methanomicrobia; Methanosarcinales; Methanosarcinaceae. The record is from RNAcentral.